Molecule: long non-coding RNA, 306 nt
Filed under: Lathyrus oleraceus (garden pea)
Lineage: Eukaryota; Viridiplantae; Streptophyta; Magnoliopsida; Fabales; Fabaceae
Description: Pisum sativum (pea) long non-coding RNA (PSAT_LNC001907)
Source: RNAcentral
UUCUAGAUUUUUGCUUUUCUUUUCUUUUUAUUUAAAAUGGAAUCAUUCACUUAUUUUCAAAUAUUUUAAUUUUGAAGGUAUGCUGAUUUUUUUUAGAUAAGAGAACCCAUACGGGUUUAGGGAUUGUGAUGGAUAUAGAACCCACAUAUGGGUUUAAGGAUAAUGUCGAAUAUAAAGAUAUAUUGUUUAAGAAGGUUCCUUAUAGAUAGGGAUAAUGAUUGGCAUGGGAAACCGAAACGGGUUUCGGGAUAUGUAAGGUAAUAUGCAAGCAUGACCUAGUUAAGGGAAGGUUCCUUAUGAUAGGUC